Long non-coding RNA from Carlito syrichta (Philippine tarsier), 404 nucleotides. RefSeq lists it as uncharacterized. Lineage: Eukaryota; Metazoa; Chordata; Mammalia; Primates; Tarsiidae. The record is from RefSeq and is a predicted model, not a curated record. The transcript has 3 exons.
AGAAGAGUUGAAACAAAAAAUGGCUGAAGCACUAAAAGGGACACUGCCAAUAUCUUCCCCUGUCACCCACUUUUCUGUGAGCUGGUCCCAUCACUAGGGGUGCCUGAGGAAUGGAGGAAAAAGCCAGUGCUCUGGCACAUGGAGUUUGCCAGUUUUGGGACCUGCUGCCUCAGUUUCCUCCUUUGUGCAUAGAAGAUGACAAGCCACAGAAGUUUGACAUCCAGGCCUCAUAGCACCUGAGGAGGAAUAAACUAUGCAAUGGUGCAUGGCACAUGCCACCUCAUUCUGGACUCAUGACCUCAUGCUCACUCAGCUUGGGAAAGAACAAGGCAACCUGGCCACAGGCAGAGAAUGUAGCCGAGCCACAUCGAGGUGCAUUCCCCCAGAGGCCUUGGGGUUUCUCU